This 5063-nucleotide long non-coding RNA is filed under the name Ananas comosus (pineapple). RNAcentral describes it as "long non-coding RNA (ACOM_LNC018916)". The record is from RNAcentral. Lineage: Eukaryota; Viridiplantae; Streptophyta; Magnoliopsida; Poales; Bromeliaceae.
GUCGCGUGUCGGGGUGUGCGAGGCGAGCGAGAACGGCGCAAGCAUCUCGAAUUUAUCCCAGAAUAUCCCUCUGGAAUAUUAUCUUCAUUGGACGAAUCUACUUCCCGAUAACACCACCAUUUGUUAGAGAGGGACCCAAAUACAUCGAUCAAUUUGCUUUCUCUCUUAUCUCUCGCUCCUCCCCUCCUGUAACUCCUCUCUCUCUCUCUCUCUCUCUCUUUCUCUCUCUCUCUCUCUCCAAAUCCAUUUACAUUUCCUCUCCACAAACGAAUUAUUCAUUCAUUCAUCUACUUGCAAGCUCACCUAAUUGUUCAUCUCGAAGGUGCGGGAGAACUUGGGGAGGUAAGUAAUAGAUCUUUUCAUCUUUUCUUUUAUACUAUUUUGUUGCCGUUAUUUUUGAGCUUCUUAGUUAAUUUUAAUGCUGGUUCUCCCUGCUGAUGCUGUUGUAAGGAAAAUUUCGUUGAUUAUGAUAAUUGUAUGAACAAAGUUGUUUGGCACGGGAGCAAGUCUCCAUUGGAGGCUUGAUUUAUAGAUAUUGCAUUCAGUUCAAGUGGUGGCACGGAGAUUGGCCCUUCAUUGUCUUGGUUUGACUUUUUCAAAUUAAUAAGUUUUGUCCUCGUCUAAUCAAAUAUUAAAUUCAACCCAUCAACCUUGUUGAUCAAUGAUAACAAAACUUGCUUUGUCCUUAAAUUCGAUGCCCAUAAUUUGUUAUCAGUUGUACCGUAGCAUAAUUGGUUGCAUUUAUGUGGGCGCACGGCACGUCUGCGGGACAAAAAUUUCCUGGGCACCGUGCCCAAACAAUUUGUUUGGGCACGGUGCCCGGAUGGGCGCCGCGUGUGCAGUGGGGCCAAUCCGCACCCUCCCUUCCCCCUCUCUUUUUCUCUCUUCCUAAAAACCGAGCCCACCAUUUUUAUUAUUUUUUUUUGAGGGUGCCGAUGGGCGCCGCUACACACGCGGCGCCCAUCCGGCACCGUCCCCAAACAAAUUUUGUUUGGGCACGGUGCCCAGAAAAUUUUUGUCCACGUCUGCGUGUCUGAUAGCAGAAUUUUUAUUACCAUUGGGUUGUAAUAUGACCGCAACCUCUAUCAGUAUUCUGAUACUCGAUCCAAACUGUAGCCAAUUAUCACAAAAUACGAAGUAUAGCAAUCCAAAUGUAUGUUGUUUGUGAACUUCGAUAAUCUAAGGAAAAUCAAGGGUAUCUCAGUACGUUUAACAAGUGUAGAAAUAACAUUUCACAGAGAUUCUCUCCGUGGCGACUGCCCUUAGGUCCUCUUAAAUGUUAUUGAUAAAUUGACAUUCCUAUGUAUUAGCAUGUUAGCAGCUUAAUUUUUAGACCUGUGAAGUAAUUCAUGAAUAUUUACUUCUCAGCAGUACUUGAGAAAAGCACUAGGCUAUGCAAAAGCAUUACCGGGUAGCAUUUGCGGUCCAUAUGAUGUUUUCCGACUUCCCAAAGGUUACAUUCUCCAUUAGAACGAGUUAUUCAGUAAUGACUUACACAGCAUAUAAAUUUUUUUUAGUAUUACAAAGUGAUGUGCGGAAUGAAAUAUUUCCAAAUCCAAACAAGCUCGAAGUAUCAAUAGCUUUUGGAAGUCAAUCAUUACUACAAAUUAGCAAUCUAGAUGCGUUGUGACCUUUUCCAGUUUCUGGCUUUUAACGCUCAACAAUAUUCUGUAAUAGACCAGAUAUUAUAAUUACACAGCUUACAUAUAUAAUUCAUCUUUUUUUUUUUUGUUUUGUUUUGUUUUGGUAGGCAUCUAUACGGCAACAGCAUACUAGGAAAAUCGGAACAUAUGAUAGGAAUCAUUUUGCUUCCAUGACAAGAUAAUAACUGAGCUUGAAUCAUCCAUGAUACAUAAACUGUUUUAAUGACAUUUCUCACUAUAGAAAAGAAUCGAAGAAUGUAUAAAGAAUGUUACAAACAACAAAAAGGAAAAACAGAAGUUUCACAUGAACCAUAUCAUUGAUAUGUCCUUAUUAGAGUACAUACAAUUGCUGUCUCGGACAGCCUUUUGUCCGGAGAAAAGCUUAAUCCAAUCAGCCUUUCUGUGCUUUGUAUUCUUCGGAAGAAAAAAAAAAAUCUCUAUCGCGAAGAAAAGUAUCGGAGGUCUUGCAUGUCAUGAUGUUGCGGAGAUAUGUUUGUCACAUAAAAGUUCUGCUGCAAAAGCCAAUUAAUCAAUUUAGUAUGAGAUAAAUCCUUAUGUUGUUUUCUCUCUACAUAAAUACAUAAUGAUUGCUUGCUUUUAUAUCAGACUAUUUACCUUGUGAUUCAAUGGCCGCAACUCUGACCGGCUUCAUGAUUCUCAUCACAUUCCUCAUAUGCUCGAAACCCAUGACAAAUAUCCCUAUGAAGUAAAGAAAGCUUAGUUGCAGCUUUCCUAGCAAGUUAUAAACAGUUACAAGACCAAUUGCUCCUUCAUUGUUCCUAAUGCUCAGGGAUAUUGGCAUCCCCAAAAUGAGCCACCCUGGUUAACAUAAUUGGUCAAUAUAACCAUGUCUAGCAAUUUUAAAUUGCAUAAAACAUAAACAGAAUACACACUGAAUAUACAUUGGCAUUUGCAACUACUGUUGUCUUGCUUACCAGAUUCUCUCUCCGGCAAACAUGCCCAUUCUUGCUCCUUAAGCUUAGCCUUUGACGCCCUUAUCAAAUCCAAAAGAGCUAAAUUUACCUGCAGAACAGCAUAAAUCGUAUAGGAUUAUUAAGGAGCUAACUACCCAAUCAAAUUAUAUAGUUGUAACCACUGCUCUAUUUCUUUGACUUCCAGCGUUACAAGUUAGAUCUCUCCAUGAGAUAAACUCGUUGGAGCUAACAAAAACUCUAAUCUGUGCUGCUCAAUCCUGGCCGCAUGUGAAUGAUUUCUCACCUCAUCAGGCCUUUCAUGGCUCACUAAAUGACCGCCAUGAAGCUCUACCAUUCUUGCUGCUGGGUACAGUCUCUCUGCAAGUCUCCUAGCAUGGUAUAGUUGAGCAAUGAUAUCAUACCUAACAGAUUUGAGAUCAAUAAUUAAGUCAUUGCCCUUGGAAUGGUGUAUGCCAGGAGGAGUGGGAGAAUCGUAGUAUAUAAAUCGACAUUAGUCACCAACCUUCCAUGAAUGACUGAAACUGGGAAUCCAGAUGAGCGAAUCGUGUCAAGUUCUUUAGCUGUCAUCUUGUGUGUCCAGCAUGCAUUGACUUGGCCUUCGAAACCAUAGUUAGAUUGCAUUCCCGUUGAUGAUAUUGCCUUUACGUAUUGCUGAAGUUAGAGAAAUUAAGUUAGCAUCUUUCAAGUUACUGGCGAAAUAACAAAAGAAUAUGAACAUACAUCAAUAUUGCAUAGUCGACCCAAAAAAAACUGGCGCUAUCAUUAUUUCAUUGAGCGAGAGACAUGAAACAUCUAACUUGUUAUUCUGUAAGAGAUAAUCAGACAACUUGGCUGACUAUUCACAUUCGGCAUGAGCUUAACUACAAAGUAUGUAGGACUCUAAUGCACCUUCAGAAGAAAUGCGACAAAAGUGAAGAUGAAUGAAGCCCUAAUAACAUUCACAUAAUUUGGGAGUACUGAUAUUAAUAGCUCUAUUUACACCAAAAAAGAUACUACUUUUUGCGUUUCUAGCACACUUGUAAUGAGAAAAUGCACAUUAUUAACUACAGAACCACAACAAUAGCGGACGGCUGAAUCUUACUUGAUAAAGAAUACUUCUUCUUGUACAUGAUCCUACAUAUUCAUCAAGAUAUUCCUGCAAAAAUAGCGUCUUGAGUCAAAAUAUUGGCAAUUGAAUUCUUCUAAAAAUUAGCCACAAGAUAAAAUGAUGGCUGAACUAAAUUUAACGUGUUCUGUAUCACACAAAACAAUUACAUAGACCAUUGGAGAUCUCUAACCUUUGUGUAGUGGGUUUCCAAGUCAACAACAGCUCUUUCUUCUGGAGUUUUCGCCCUUAAGAAACGAAAUGCGAGAGACAUCAUUUGGCGGUCAAUCUGCAACAACGACGGUAUGCGGUAAAGAUGGAGGAUUUAGUGGAACAGUUACCAUGGUGAAACAAGAAUCUUUUGGAUCUCAUUAUACAAACAUUUUAUGAGAAGUGGUUUUCUCGCGACCUCGACAUUCUAUUUAAACUAGUCAUACUGUUUUCCAAGUCGACAUCUUUCAGGAGACGUCUAGUUUGAGAGUACCUCUAAUGGGGCCACAAAUGAAUCUUAGGCAUUACUGCAUGACAGAAAGAUAUCAUGAUGUAGUUUAUGGAUGAAAUUGAACUCUCCAUUUAAAUAAGUGGGGCUCUGCAAGCACCAUGUCCCUGUCAACUAUUAGGUGAGUCAAUUCUGGCAAGAAGUUGCUAGAAUAGACUAAUAAGAUGAUAGAUAUUGUGGCUCUGGUAAGUGGUUCAUAUACUAACAAAAAAGUUCAACCUCAAAAACUUGUCAUCUCCAUCUUUCAAUAGAACAAAGUGUAAUUGAGAUUGAUAUUCAUGCAGGAUAACAUAUUGAUGUUACUCAAUUUUGUACUGUAUACUCUCAAGAGUUAUCCUUUCACAUGCCGAUACAACUUUAACCAAAAUGGAAUUUUAAGUGUGGCCAGCAAUGUGCUAAAAAUAAACAAAAUUCGAUGCCCGAGUCGAUGAACAAGAACCCCUCAAAAGAAAACGCACCUCAUAAUGUCAGCAACUGCAAAUAAUAACAAAGUUUUGUUUUGUUUUUUUUUUUUUUGAAAAUAAAAAAGGAGGAAGCAGAAGCAUUUAUGCGAUUACCUUGGGAAAGCACUCGAAGCCACCUCCUGUUACAUUCAGCAACGCCAAGGAGCACAACCUAUCAGGCGCCAUUGCUGCUAAUUUGCAAGCGAUCAUCGCACCUGUCUCCAACCAGCAAUCAUAUUUUACACUUGGUGUGAAUUUCUCUCCCGUAAAACUUAUUGAAAUCAUGAGGACUAAUUUCAAAUAAUGAAAUUGUAUGUCGAAGAUAUAUAUUUCUAUCGUCAAAACAACAAGUGUACCAGGAAAUGUGGAAAAGAAACCCCCAAAAGGUUGAAGGGAAGGGGAGGGUGAGCUAGAGACAAAAAAAAAAAAAAAAAAAAAAAAAAAAAAAAAAAGAGGGCC